UACGGAGGGUGCAAGCGUUGUCCGGAUUUAUUGGGUUUAAAGGGUGCGUAGGCGGCCCGUUAAGUCAGUGGUGAAAGCCUCCAGCUCAACUGGAGAACUGCCAUUGAUACUGACGGGCUUGAGUACAGACGAGGUUGGCGGAAUUGAUUGUGUAGCGGUGAAAUGCUUAGAUAUGACAUAGAACACCAAUAGCGAAGGCAGCUUGCUACACGGUAAUUGACACUCAGGCACGAAAGCGUGGGGAGCAAACAGG
RNAcentral lists this ribosomal RNA (253 nucleotides) under uncultured bacterium. RNAcentral's name for it is "partial 16S ribosomal RNA". It matches the Rfam family "Bacterial small subunit ribosomal RNA", at positions 524 to 776 of the family's 1533-position model. The record is from RNAcentral.